UUGUCUCAAACUUCUGACCUCAGGUGAUCUGCCCGCCUCAGCCUCCCAAAGUGCUGGGAUUAUAGGCAUGAGCCACCACACAUGGCCUGCUUUUCCUUAUCUUUCAGAAUAGUUGAACUACUUUAUUCCUCAGUGUGGCCCAAAUAAGAUUUUCAAAUGCCUCUAAACAGAGCUCUCCUUCUGUGCCUCUGCUGAGGUUUGCUCCUGUAGGAAGUUAUCUGGACCAAACAGCCCGAGCACUGAAUUUAGCUGUAUUGCUGUUACAUUUCCUGUGUGUUGAGGGUUUGGCUGCCAGGAGGUGAAUUGUAGAUAGAAUCUUUCAUUCUGGUUUCAGUUUCUGGAAGUAGCUAUUGAGCUCAAGGCAAAUCAUAUAUUUAAAGAUAUAUACAUGAUUUAAGGAUAAUCUGGCAUUUAUCUCUGCUCUCUUUUUGAAGACUUCAUUAUCAUGGUUGCCUGACCCAACACAACAUAUUUGGAGGAGGAGAGGGGACACUUUUAUUGUACCCCAUCACGUGGCUGAGUCAUUUGGCUCUCCAUUCACUGGAACAGACGACUAUGGACACCACCAUUGGGUUUCCCACCAAGGACAGAGUUCCAAAGCAACAGUGGCUUCCAUGGUUGGCUCACCCAGCCUGCCUGAGUCAUCAGCUAGGUCCACAGAGUAGAGAAGUGGGUAGUGCCCCCGCCUAACAUCUGGAAAAAUUCCCAAAAGUUGUGACUUCAUGACCACUGAGUCAGCAGCAACUCUUUUCUUGCCAAGAAUAGCACAUUGUUCUUUUCCUUUUCAGGUAAUCCCUCCCCGGAAAGAGAAGAUCACAGAUUUUGUCAUAUUAAAUACAUUGUAGAAAUUCAUGGUAGCAGGGGCAAGAUCAUUUAAACAAAACAGAAAGUUUCAGAGAGAGAAAAAGCCAAGGACAAAGAUUAAUCAUUUUUCUGCUUAAAAAAAAUGGCUUUGAUUUGCAACCAUGGAAUGCUCCACUGUUUCUCUUCUCUUCAAAGACAUCUACUGAAAGGAUUCCUUAACCUUACCAAGUGGCCAAAAUACUUUUCUGAGAAGAGUCACAGAGCAUAGGCCCCCCUAGGGUACACAGAGAUUUCAUUAGUCCCUAGAUGUUUCCUGAUCCUUUUAAAAACUGGUUAAAUUCAGAGACUCUAGGCAAUUACUUCUUUCAGAACCUGUGAGGCAAAAACGAAAGAAGAAGGCAGGACACGCAGUGUAACAAACCUUGGAAUGGUUUCGGAACACAUGUCAUUUUCAGGGAGAAGGAAAGGAUGAAUGAAUGAGCUGGAGUACACUUUCUAGAACAUAUAAAGGGGAUAUGGGAACUGGAUGCAGAGAGCCUACCUUCCAGUGGGAGAGAUGGACCACAAAUACAUAAGCAAAUACAUAUACAAAAUCAUUGCAGAUUAUGAAAAAUGGUAAGAAAGAGAUAAAAAGUGUGACCGGAUGGAAGGUAACUGGGGCAAUCACUUUUAGGCAGAUGCCUCUGAGAUGCCAUCUGAGCUGAGACUUGACAGAUGAAGUGCCAACAAUCUCAGCCUCUAAGCCUGCCAAGCUUGAGAUGUUAUUUGUAUUAGUAAUUUGCAGGUGCAAAUGACCCACCUAGACUGUUUCUAGUGCACAGUAUGCUUUGUUGACAAAAUGCCCUGAAGCAAAAUGCCACAGAUGUCAGCUUCAGUUUUGUGGAUUUUCAUAGCAUCUUCCCGUAAGGUUGGUCAUUGUCGUUCCCAACCACUCCCCGGUUUGGGGGAAAGGACACAGGGUGUCCUCUGACUCUGGUGCACACAGGGUGUCCUCUGACUCUGGUGCACACAUGAGCUCUCACCAGUCCUGCUGGGACCAGGCUGCAGGCAAAGAACAAACACCUACUUAAUGAACUGUGAUGACAGAGGAGUGGCCAUUUGCUUCCUCCAGUGCUGUCCAUGCCAGCUCCUGAGCCCAUUUGUCACUUCCUGGGGACACAGCUGACUCAUAGAGCACUGGCAGUAAUCUUGGCCUGGGAGAGGUGGGAAACAGAAGGCUUGGAUAAAAGCAGGUGGAGCUGGUGGCUGCCUAGGUAAUAUGAUGGGAAUUUUUGUCCACUGACCUGUCCACAAUUCUUGGAAUUCUGCUAGAACUCAGUAUCCAAUCCACUUGGUUCUGAAAGGUUUUUUUUGAUUUUUGACCUUCAGCUCGCUCACUAAUGUGAAUGUUUGGAGGAGGAUACCACUGUUUAGAAACAUAAUUUAGCAUAUUAAAAAAGACUCACAAAAAAUCUCAAAAUGGCAAAAUCAGGUUAUAGGUGUUAGGCCCUGGAUCUCAUUUUAUCCAGAAUUGUUCCAUCUCUGAAAUGACAAAUUCAUACACUCUAGAGCAUGACACAUAGUCUUCUAACCUUCCCACUGAGUUACCCAUAUUACACUGCCCUUCAGCCUCCUGGAGACCUCUUUUUCUUUUUAAAAAAAACUUUUAUUUUGGGUUCAGGGGUAUGGAGAUCUCUUUUUCUAUGAAAGGAUCACAGUCUGUAUCUGCCUUAAGAUAUAGUCAUAGACAACCGUUAUUCAAAGUAAGGGGCCAUAAGUUUGGACGCCAUGGCUCAUGCUUGUAAUCCCAGCACUUUGGGAGGCCGAGGCAGGUGGAUUGCUGGAGCCCAGGAGUUCAAGACCAGCCUGGGCAACAUGGCGAAAUACAGAAAACUUCAAAAAUUAGCUGGGCAUGGUGGCACACAUCUAUGGUCCCAGCUACUCAGAAGACCGAGGUGGGAGAAUCACUUGACCCCAGGAGGCAGAAGAUGCAGUGAGCUAUGAUCGCACCACUACACACCAGCCUGGGCAAUAGAAUGAGAACCCAUCUCAAAAAAAAGGUAAAGGGCCAUGAUUGUAUGUCUAUUUGUGUGUGUAUGAUUUUAUCACUUUAUUUGACAAUCAGUGGUUGGCUCUCACCCACAUUGACUGUCUAUAGAUGUUUGAAAGUGGUCACAGGUACAUAGUUAAACCAAAGUAUAGAGUUUGUUUGCUGAACCUUCAC
This 3007-nucleotide long non-coding RNA is filed under the name Homo sapiens (human). RNAcentral describes it as "HSALNT0066960". Lineage: Eukaryota; Metazoa; Chordata; Mammalia; Primates; Hominidae. The record is from RNAcentral.